UGGGGAAUAUUGGACAAUGGGCGAAAGCCUGAUCCAGCCAUGCCGCGUGUGUGAAGAAGGUCUUCGGAUUGUAAAGCACUUUAAGUUGGGAGGAAGGGCAUUAACCUAAUACGUUAGUGUUUUGACGUUACCGACAGUAUAAGCACCGGCUAACUCUGUGCCAGCAGCCGCGGUAAUACAGAGGGUGCAAGCGUUAAUCGGAAUUACUGGGCGUAAAGCGCGCGUAGGUGGUUUGUUAAGUUGGAUGUGAAAUCCCCGGGCUCAACCUGGGAACUGCAUUCAAAACUGACUGACUAGAGUAUGGUAGAGGGUGGUGGAAUUUCCUGUGUAGCGGUGAAAUGCGUAGAUAUAGGAAGGAACACCAGUGGCGAAGGCGACCACCUGGACUAAUACUGACACUGAGGUGCGAAAGCGUGGGGAGCAAACA
RNAcentral lists this ribosomal RNA (427 nucleotides) under uncultured bacterium. RNAcentral's name for it is "partial 16S ribosomal RNA". It matches the Rfam family "Bacterial small subunit ribosomal RNA", at positions 355 to 774 of the family's 1533-position model. The record is from RNAcentral.